ACUCUGAAGGACUACCAGCGGAGACUGGACACAUCAGGGCUCAAACCCAGUAAUGAGCUUUAUACGGAAUAUAAGGUAACGUCUGCUCACACAUUUGAGUUCUUCGGAUAUUUUAGAGUUAUUCUCAUUAUUCUCCCGCUGGCUUUUCUAGAACAUCGACCUGACUCAGAAGAAGAUGCUUUACGAAGGCGCUGUGACCUGGAGACUCACAAAGGAGAAGGCAAUUGAGGUGCAGUGUGUGUUGCUCGAGGACCUGCUGGUGCUCCUCCAGAGGCAGGACGACAAGAUGGUCCUCAAAUGCCAGAGCAAGAGUAACAUCGCCGUGCAAGAGGGCAAGCAGAUGCUCAGCCCCAUCAUCAAGCUGGACUCGGUCUUCCUACGCGAAGUGGCCACAGAUCGAAAGGCCUUCUAUGUGAUAUUCACCUGGGAAAGCGGCGCUCAGAUCUAUGAACUUGUGGCGCAGUCUCUUGGAGAGAUGAAAAUGUAAGUGUGGGAGAGAAAUACAGAUAAUCAUGAUGAGUUCCAGAAGCUAAAUCACAACCAGGAAAUGUAAUGUGUGUGUGUGUGUGUGUGUGUGUGUGUGUGUGUGUGUACUUACAGCUGGACUGGUGUGAUAAAGACGGCGGUGGAUGAUCUGAAGAAGAGUGGAGCACCCAUGAGGUUGACGCUGCCUCAUGGAAGUGGAGGAGCUCCAUUAAGUCCAUCCACGUAUGUGUCAAUGUGUGUGUGUGUGUGUGUGUGUGUGUGUGUGUGUGUGUACUUACACGUCAGUUGAAAGAGCAAGACGUAUUCAUCGCCUGCCAAAGUUCACCCAUUUCAAAAAUAUCUCAUUUCUUUUGUCAUCUUCCCCCCGUCAGGCUGACUGCCCCUCUGAGCCCGACGGAGAACGGGGGUUUGAAAAGCAGCAGCGAUCGAGAUAAAGACAGCUUGACGGAUGACAAGUCUUCAGACCCCAGGCACAGGCUGAUUGAUUUCCUGUCAGACAAAGGCUUCGACUUGAUAGGCCACUCCAACAGCGAUCAGGAGAAGAUGGCCAACAGUGCUUUGGAUGAAGUCAUGUCGCUGAAAAGGCUGUUGGUCGGCAGCAUCAGUCUGACAGAAGACUCGCAGCCCGAUGAAGAAAACGGAGAGGAGCAAUCAGAGAGGCCCAGUCAAGAAACGGAUAGCUGUCAGUCGACAGGUCGGCUUUUGUUUUGUUUUGAAAGUCAAAAUGUACUGCAAUUCAAAACAAAAGUGCCUCGUGACACAUCUAAACUGAGUCUUUCCGUCCGCAGAAGAAAGCCAGACGACAGACAGGGCAGCGGAGGAGGACAACAAUAA
This 1320-nucleotide long non-coding RNA is filed under the name Cottoperca gobio. RNAcentral's name for it is "lncRNA (ENSCGOG00000009879.1)". The record is from RNAcentral. Lineage: Eukaryota; Metazoa; Chordata; Actinopteri; Perciformes; Bovichtidae.